This 261-nucleotide RNase P RNA is filed under the name Chloroflexota bacterium. RNAcentral describes it as "Chloroflexi bacterium (marine sediment metagenome) partial RNase P RNA component class A". It matches the Rfam family "Bacterial RNase P class A", at positions 149 to 367 of the family's 367-position model. From Rfam's summary of the family: Ribonuclease P (RNase P) is a ubiquitous endoribonuclease, found in archaea, bacteria and eukarya as well as chloroplasts and mitochondria. Its best characterised activity is the generation of mature 5'-ends of tRNAs by cleaving the 5'-leader elements of precursor-tRNAs. Cellular RNase Ps are ribonucleoproteins. The record is from RNAcentral. Lineage: Bacteria; Bacillati; Chloroflexota.
CAAGGGUGAAAUCGGACGGUAAGAGCGUCCGGUCGUCUGCGGUGACGUAGCGACGGCCAAACCCCACCUGGAGCAAGGCCGAAUAGGGGGACUAUGGGUGUCCGGCCCGUCCCCGGGUUGGCUGCUUGACCCCGAUGGAAACAUCGUCCCGCCUUGCGCGGGAACCCGGUGGCCCCUGCGGCUAUCGGGGGGGCUAGAUAGAUGGCCACCGUCCUUCCUCAAGGAAGGAUACAGAACCCGGCUUAUAGGUUUAAAUGGCUC